RNAcentral lists this ribosomal RNA (498 nucleotides) under uncultured bacterium. Its description in RNAcentral is "bacterial SSU rRNA". It matches the Rfam family "Bacterial small subunit ribosomal RNA", at positions 211 to 703 of the family's 1533-position model. The record is from RNAcentral.
GCUGUCGCUUAUGGAUGGACCCGCGGCGUAUUAGUUAGUUGGUGAGGUAACGGCUACCAAGCCGAAGACGGGUAGCUGGUCUGAGAGGAUGAUCAGCCACACUGGAACUGAGACACGGUCCAGACUCCUACGGGAGGCAGCAGUGGGGAAUCUUGCGCAAUGGGCGAAAGCCUGACGCAGCGACCCGCGUGAGUGAUGAAGGCCUUCGGGUUGUAAAGCUCUGUGGAGGGGGACGAAUAAGGGUUGGCUAACAUCCAGCUCGAUGACGGUACCCCCUUUAGCAAGCACCGGCUAACUCUGUGCCAGCAGCCGCGGUAAGACAGAGGGUGCAAACGUUGUUCGGAAUUACUGGGCGUAAAGCGCGUGUAGGCUGCUCGGAAAGUCGGAUGUGAAAGCCCUGGGCUCAACCUAGGAAGUGCAUUCGAAACUUCCGAGCUGGAGUGCUGGAGAGGAAGGCGGAAUUCUCGGUGUAGAGGUGAAAUUCGUAGAUAUCGAGAG